This 509-nucleotide ribosomal RNA is filed under the name uncultured bacterium. RNAcentral describes it as "bacterial SSU rRNA". It matches the Rfam family "Bacterial small subunit ribosomal RNA", at positions 28 to 526 of the family's 1533-position model. The record is from RNAcentral.
GAUGAACGCUAGCGGCAGGCUUAACACAUGCAAGUCGAGGGGCAGCACAUUGAGUAGUUUACUACUCUUGGUGGCGACCGGCGCACGGGUGCGUAACGCGUAUGCAACCUACCAUUAACAGGGGGAUAAUUCGGAGAAAUCUGGUCUAAUACCCCAUAACAAUAGAUUUGGCAUCAAAUUUAUUUGAAAACUCCGGUGGUUAAUGAUGGGCAUGCGUGACAUUAGAUAGUUGGUGAGGUAACGGCUCACCAAGUCUACGAUGUCUAGGGGGACUGAGAGGUUAACCCCCCACACUGGUACUGAGACACGGACCAGACUCCUACGGGAGGCAGCAGUGAGGAAUAUUGGUCAAUGGACGCAAGUCUGAACCAGCCAUGCCGCGUGCAGGAAGACGGCUCUAUGAGUUGUAAACUGCUUUUGUACGAGGGUAAUUGCAUCUACGUGUAGGUGUUUGAAAGUAUCGUACGAAUAAGGAUCGGCUAACUCCGUGCCAGCCGCCGCGGUAAAAC